This 1386-nucleotide ribosomal RNA is filed under the name Triticum aestivum (bread wheat). Its description in RNAcentral is "partial small subunit ribosomal RNA". Lineage: Eukaryota; Viridiplantae; Streptophyta; Magnoliopsida; Poales; Poaceae. The record is from RNAcentral.
AUGGAAUGGCCGAUUUCUCAGGAGACCAAAAUCUGGUUGCGUGGGGUGUCCACGCUCCCUUCGCAACCAUAUCCACAUAAGGGGAUCAUUGUUAAACCUGUUGGUGUGAGGGCCUUGGUGGUUAUUCCAGAAGGCACAAUCCCGCCACGACAGCCAAGCACCAUCAUUGGAUGUCUUUGUAGGCAUUAUUACCCCGGCCUACUUCCCAUAGGAGACGGUGAGGAGGAGCCAGCUUGGUCUUGGGAGCACUGGAGACGCGCUCCAAAUACGAAAGACAAUUGGGACAGGGAGUACCGCAGUGCUGCUGAGCGGGUGGUCAACGAUUUUUGGGACUUCUUUACUUGCGUUGAGGGUAUGGAGGAUGAAGCUAAUGAGGUCGUGGAGGAGAUUGCCAAGAAGAUUGUCCAAGACAUGCCUUACGAGGCUCGCGUCAAUGCCGUGGUCAAGUAUUUCGCGCAUGAACGCAAGAUGCUUCUUAAAAAGCCGCUAGCCCGGAGAGUGCAUCUCACCCGUUCCAUGUACAUGAAGGCGGUUCCCCCGUGGUGCAACAACAAGAUUCCUUGCUACCAGCAAAUCAUAUCCAGGUGGAUAAACCCAGAGUGGAGGGCCACAUACAGAGCAGCUACGGAGCGACGUGCCUUGAUGGGUGGUCCGGUACACCUUCAAGGCAACCUCAACCUCCAUGCUUAUGUGCAGAAGAAGAAUAGGGAGAGAGGUGAGGGUGAAGAGCCGCUCAAUACCUUCACGGGAUUAUUUCUCUCCCGCAAGUCAAAGAAACCGGAAGGGGGGUGGGUCAACCCAGGGGCUGGAUUGAGGAUUGAUGCAUAUAGUGGGAAGUUCAAGGAGUGCAACGGGCCCGACUCUGAUCCAGCCUCACAGGACAUUGAUGUUACGGUUUCCCUCAAGUCAGGACAAGGCAAGAAGCGUGGACGGUUAUAUGUUGGUGACGGUUCCAUCCGUAAGAAGGACAUUCCAAAACUUGCCGACCUCCGUGCUACCACGUCGAGCUCAGGUCCUGCUAUUGAGCGUCGCCCAGAGCCUGGGCUGCACAUGAUGCAUCAAUUCCAUGCUCGCCUAGAGGAAGAAAGCAGGUUGCGGCAGGAAGAAACCAGGUUGCGGCUGGAGGCUCAGGCCAAUGCCCUACUUCAACAGGAGCAAGCCAUGAAAAUGCAGCAAGCCCUGUUUCAGCAGCAGGAAUUCAUGGUUAAACAGCAGGCAACCCUGCAGGAGACGUUUGCUCGGUUCAAUACUAAUAUGCAUUGUUCUACUUUGCCGGAUCUUCCUCCUAUUCCGCCGCUUCCUACUUUUAGCUUUUGUCCUCGGUCGGGAGAAGGCUCCAAUAACUUUGUGGUAUGUGGAUCUAACCUGCCCAAGCAAGCCCAGUGA